Molecule: ribosomal RNA, 252 nt
Filed under: uncultured bacterium
Lineage: Bacteria
Description: partial 16S ribosomal RNA
Rfam family: Bacterial small subunit ribosomal RNA
Source: RNAcentral
UUUAGUAUGGCGACCGGCGCACGGGUGAGUAACACGUAUCCAACCUGCCGAUGACUCGGGGAUAGCCUUUCGUAAAGAAAGAUUAAUACCCGAUGGCAUAGUUCUUCCGCAUGGUAGAACUAUUAAAGAAUUUCGGUCAUCGAUGGGGAUGCGUUCCAUUAGGUUGUUGGCGGGGUAACGGCCCACCAAGCCUUCGAUGGAUAGGGGUUCUGAGAGGAAGGUCCCCCACAUUGGAACUGAGACACGGUCCAA